AUUGAACGCUGGCGGCAUGCUUUACACAUGCAAGUCGAACGGCAGCGCGGGCUUCGGCCUGUCGGCGAUUGGCGAACGGGUGAGUAAUGCAUCGGAACGUGCCCAGCUGUGGGGGAUAGCCCGGCUAAAGCCGGAUUAAUACCGCAUACGACCUGAGGGUGAAAGCGGGGGUCCGAAAGGCCUCGCGCUAUUGGAGCGGCCGAUGUCGGAUUAGCUAGUUGGUGGGGUAAAGGCUUACCAAGGCGACGAUCCGUAGCUGGUCUGAGAGGCCGACCGGCCACACUGGGACUGAGACACGGCCCAGACUCCUACGGGAGGCAGCAGUGGGGAAUUUUGGACAAUGGGGGCAACCCUGAUCCAGCCAUGCCGCGUGAGGGAAGAAGGCCUUCGGGUUGUAAAACGCUUUUGUUCGGGAAGAAAAACUGUGGGAUAAUACCCCGGGGGGAUGACGGUACCGGAAGAAUAAGCACCGGCUAACUACGUG
Molecule: ribosomal RNA, 484 nt
Filed under: uncultured bacterium
Lineage: Bacteria
Description: partial 16S ribosomal RNA
Rfam family: Bacterial small subunit ribosomal RNA
Source: RNAcentral